GCACAAGUUUAAUCGCCAAAGUGCCAGUGUAGACACCACUCUUGAUUUUAUUGCUGUAAUUGGCCCCCAGAAGGUGUCCCACAAUGUCCGUCAUGACUGCUCUGGUCAACCGUUCCAACUCUGCUGCCCUGAAGCCAGCUGACCAUGGUGGCUCCAUGCAGCAAAUGCUCUCCUGCUUGGACUAAUGGGGAGCUGAUGGAUCUGCUCAGUAUUUGGGAAGAGGAGGCUGUGCAGUCCCAGCUGCGCUCCAGCCAUAGGAAUUUUGAUACUUAGGGGCAGAUUUCUCAAAACUUGCGCGAAAAGGACUAUGACUGGCACACACUGCAGUGCACAGCAAAGAUCAAGGAGCUGAGGCAGGUGCAUCAGAAGGCAAGGAAAGCAAACCAUUUUUAUAAGGAGUUGGACGCUAUCCUUGGCUGCGAUCCCACCUCCACCGCCAAGAACCCUGUGGAUACUUUGGCGCGGCUGGAGCGGGCAGAAGGUGGACCUAGCUCUGAGGAUGAAGUCAUUGACAAAGAGGUGGAGGAGGAUGACAAUGUGGAGACCAUGGCAGGAUUGCCUGGUGGUUCAUCCAAUCAGGAGCUGUUCUCCACCCCGGAGGUGUCUAGCCAGUCUCGGCAGUUGCAAUCCAGCGAGCAAGAAGCAGGAGAGGAGACCGAUGUGGCCUUGAAAGGGCCCCUACACACUGGCGGAGUGCCUCCACUGGAUAAGACAGUGCCCAAGAUGGAGCAAGGAUGACAUGUUCCAGUAGGUGAUGCAAUACUUGGAUGCCAAAAACAGGGAACGUAGACACUGGAGGGAAAUCAAAAGGCAGGACAGAGAAGAAAAUGAGGCCUAUGCUAGGGACCCAACAGAGAGGAUGAUUAAAGUUAUGGAGAAGCAAACUGAGAAGCUACAGUCUCUCAUAACACUCCAAACUGAGCAGAUGCAUGCCCGCCCUCCCCUUCAGCACAUUCAAAACUCUUUCCCAUGUCCUCCCCAAACUCCACCCACAAAUUCCUUUCCGCUGUCUGGGACUUCUCACUACCUCAUUCACUCCACCUCCACAAAUGAUAGCUGGACUUACGCACGGUUCUGAAAGUCGGCCCUCCCCUGGUACCUCCUCUUCCCACAAGCAUUUUUCUGUGUGUG
Molecule: long non-coding RNA, 1131 nt
Organism: Mauremys reevesii (Reeves's turtle)
Lineage: Eukaryota; Metazoa; Chordata; Testudines; Geoemydidae
Exons: 3
Source: RefSeq, a predicted model, not a curated record